AUGGUUCGGAUCUGACAUAAAUGUAAUUACAUGUAAAAGUAAUCGAGUGAUAACGUUAUUAGCCGAGGUCCGGCGAGGAAGGCCGCCAUGAUUAAGGGGGACGGUGACGAGCGGCGAGCUUCCGCUGGAGAGGCGAGAUAAGGACCUGAUGAUUCUACAGCAUGCUACACGAUCGGCCUAAUCAAUAUUAAUUGUCAUUUCAUUAUUUCUAGAGACGCUUCUGCUCACAUCUAUCAAUAUUCUAGUGACAUCAGAAGCGCCAGGUUUGAGAAAAUUAUGCCAUAUCACGAUUCUUAUGGAUUUUCAGAAACACGUUAUAUAUAAACUGUCUAAAAACCUGACCAAAUUCCGUACUUCCGGCGAUUCUUUACUACAUCGAGGUGGGGAACGUGUGUUUUCAAUGAUUAUUUUGGAGUCGUUUUACCGGGUUUUCCAAUGGAAACAUCCAGUUUUUAAAAUGGUGAAAAUGGCGGGCGGCUGCCAAAAGGGUACCCUCAUUCCACGGAUAACUCCUCCUACAGUUUCUCAAGAUAGGAAGUUGUUCUUUUGCAGAUCAAUUGUACAUAUACCAGAGGACACAGAACCCUUGGCUACUGGUCGGUCUUUAGAAACGGAAAACAACCAUGUCGAAUUAUUCUUGGCUACUGGUCGGUCUUUAGAAACGGAAAACAACCAUGUCGAAUUCUUCUUGUUAAACUUCGACACAGUUCAGAUAUAGGACAGGAAUCCAAAACAUUUGACGAUUAGAACAAGAUACAGGUGUCACAAAAAAGGUUGAAGCGUUUA
Long non-coding RNA from Magallana angulata, 786 nucleotides. RefSeq lists it as uncharacterized. The record is from RefSeq and is a predicted model, not a curated record. The transcript is spliced from 3 exons. Lineage: Eukaryota; Metazoa; Mollusca; Bivalvia; Ostreida; Ostreidae.